RNAcentral lists this transfer RNA (63 nucleotides) under Clavelina lepadiformis (light-bulb sea squirt). RNAcentral describes it as "tRNA-Ser2". Lineage: Eukaryota; Metazoa; Chordata; Ascidiacea; Aplousobranchia; Clavelinidae. The record is from RNAcentral.
GGUUAGGGUAUAUAAUACUAGAAACUGCUACUUUUUAGUCGCUACGUAAAAGUAGCCUACCCU